GUUACGUAAUACACUUUUGCUCUUAAUUAGAUUGGUAUUAUUAAUUUAUCUGAGACCGGGAUCCGUGAUCUUGAUUCCAUGAAUGAGGAUUGGCACAUUUUACCACUUACACAUCAAUAAUAAAAGUACUUAUAAUAAAGAAUAUAUGUUUUGGUAACAAAAAUAUUUAAAACAUCUCCAAAGUUAUUCUUAUAGUAUAAAGUAAAUUAUUAGGUAUAAGAAGUUAUAAUUUGUCACAUUUCUUACAAACGUAAUCAGUUUUUCUUCUCAGUGCAUUUUCCGCUUACGUAUUUUUUGCAGAUAUUACAAACUCUUCGAGUCUUAUUAUUAUUACAAUACCCUGUCUGACACCACUUGCGUGAAUAAAGUGAGCUGUUUAAAGUUCUUUGGACAUCUUCCCGUGAUUCCAUCCUUGGUUUUACAUUUUCAGUAGCAAGAUCAUUUGCUAGUUAAAACACAAAAUGUUUUCUGGAUAUCUUUUUAGCUGUUGUUUCUUUAAAUAAGAUCCAGGCAAAUCUAAAAUGUUGAAAAAUACUUGAAGCUACCUUCUUGAUUCUGAUUUGCUAUAUUUGUUUGCCAUUUAGUCUGCAACGUCUACGCCAAAUUUAGUCUUAUUAUAAAAUGCAACCGUUUCAGUUUCCUCUGGUAACUUUCACGGUCAUAGAAUGCAUCAUUCUCGAUAUCAGAGCAUUACAUUCGUAUAUUGUUCAUUUUUUCCAAAAAUUCAGAGAUUAUCAAUCGUUAUAUCAUUUUCACGGUAUAUAAAAUAUUAUUGCGGCUGAAGAUGUACAACACUGUAACGGAUAUCAUUAUUCUUAUCCAACUUGUAUCAUUUUGUAUGACGUAGCUUCUCCAAUUCAUUUAAACGUAAAGUGCGCU
Long non-coding RNA from Frieseomelitta varia, 879 nucleotides. RefSeq lists it as uncharacterized. The transcript is spliced from 2 exons. Lineage: Eukaryota; Metazoa; Arthropoda; Insecta; Hymenoptera; Apidae. The record is from RefSeq and is a predicted model, not a curated record.